UUGUCUCUGUCCUCGAGUCUCAUCUCUGUGUUUCCCCUUUUCUCGAGCUUGGGAUCGAGACGCUAGUCAGAUGCGAGAGAGGAGUGGAGGCGGCGGAGGGAUGCGUCGACGGAGGAGGUUUUUAACGGAGGGUGAGGUCUUGAUGGGAAGAGGAAGAGAUGAAGGAAGCGGCGGAGCAUGGAGCUCCUUAACCUUCUCCACCACUCUGUGGUCUCCGCUCACCUGCAAUCGAACACGGUCACGGCGGCGCCUCUUGUCCACUCUCGAGCAUCACCGCCGUGUCUCUCCUCAUCAAUCCGCUGUGCUCUGUCGCUAUUAAGCUUGUGAUGUUGUUAUAGUGGAAGACGAUGACAAGAAUGCUGCUGGGAAAGGAA
Molecule: long non-coding RNA, 374 nt
Organism: Brassica oleracea var. oleracea
Lineage: Eukaryota; Viridiplantae; Streptophyta; Magnoliopsida; Brassicales; Brassicaceae
Exons: 2
Source: RefSeq, a predicted model, not a curated record